UGAUGUGCGUAUUUAACAUUUUCUUUUA
RNAcentral lists this small RNA (28 nucleotides) under Bombyx mori (domestic silkworm). RNAcentral's name for it is "ovarian small RNA-32943". The record is from RNAcentral. Lineage: Eukaryota; Metazoa; Arthropoda; Insecta; Lepidoptera; Bombycidae.